CGGAAUGUAGCCCAGCCCGGUUAAGGCGCCACGUUCGGGACGUGGAGAUCGAAGGUUCAAAUCCUUCCAUUCCGACCA
This 78-nucleotide transfer RNA is filed under the name Betaproteobacteria bacterium. RNAcentral's name for it is "tRNA-Pro". It matches the Rfam family "tRNA". Rfam says of the family: Transfer RNA (tRNA) molecules are approximately 80 nucleotides in length. Their secondary structure includes four short double-helical elements and three loops (D, anti-codon, and T loops). Further hydrogen bonds mediate the characteristic L-shaped molecular structure. tRNAs have two regions of fundamental functional importance: the anti-codon, which is responsible for specific mRNA codon recognition, and the 3' end, to which the tRNAs corresponding amino acid is attached (by aminoacyl-tRNA synthetases). tRNAs cope with the degeneracy of the genetic code in two manners: having more than one tRNA (with a specific anti-codon) for a particular amino acid; and 'wobble' base-pairing, i.e. permitting non-standard base-pairing at the 3rd anti-codon position. The record is from RNAcentral. Lineage: Bacteria; Pseudomonadati; Pseudomonadota; Betaproteobacteria.